Molecule: ribosomal RNA, 551 nt
Filed under: Ambystoma mexicanum (axolotl)
Lineage: Eukaryota; Metazoa; Chordata; Amphibia; Caudata; Ambystomatidae
Description: partial 16S ribosomal RNA
Rfam family: Bacterial large subunit ribosomal RNA
Source: RNAcentral
CACCUCUUGCAUAUUAAGUAUAAGAGGCCCUGCCUGCCCAGUGACAUUAGUUUAACGGCCGCGGUAUCAUGACCGUGCAAAGGUAGCGUAAUCACCUGUCUUUUAAUUAAAGACCUGUAUGAAUGGCAAAACGAGAGUCUAACUGUCUCUUUAAAUAAAUCAGUGAAACUAAUCUCCCCGUGCAGAAGCGGGAAUGAUACCAUAAGACGAGAAGACCCUAUGGAGCUUUAAAUUUUACUUAACUAUAAUUUUAUAUUAUCCUAAGGGAAAACCUUAUACUUUUAUAUAUUAAUAAAAAUUUUAGGUUGGGGCGACCACGGAAUAAAGAAAAACUUCCGAGAUGAGAUUUAUAGAAGGACACUUCACAAAAUAGAAAAAUCUAACAUAUUGACCCAAUAAUUGAUCAACGAACCAAGUUACCCUAGGGAUAACAGCGCAAUCUUCUCCAAGAGUUCUUAUCGACGAGUAGGUUUACGACCUCGAUGUUGGAUCAGGACACCCAAAUGGUGCAGCAGCUAUUAAAGGUUCGUUUGUUCAACGAUUAAAGUCCU